This 548-nucleotide long non-coding RNA is filed under the name Chinchilla lanigera (long-tailed chinchilla). RNAcentral's name for it is "lncRNA (ENSCLAG00000023871.1)". Lineage: Eukaryota; Metazoa; Chordata; Mammalia; Rodentia; Chinchillidae. The record is from RNAcentral.
UUUAGGUAGGUAUCUGGUUCAGAAGGUUACUGAAACUCAGGUUUGUUUGUUUUCUGUAAGGAGAGGAGGGCCAGAGAGGAGAGAGGCAUAAAGCCUUAGAUGAAGAAGGAACUCGAAAGACAACAGCAGCUGCUGACAUAAGGAUCUAAAGGUCCUGUCCAACUGGAGCAUAACCGAUGAUAGGUCUGGAGGAAGAAUGAAUAAUGGAUUAUACAGCAGAAAAGUUGUAUUAUCAGAAAGGCUAGAGAUACCGAGGAGAGAAAUGGGGGAGUUUGGAUGGAGGCAGACACACGGUAGAAAAAAGACAAGGAAACAGGCUCAGAGACGGUCAAGGAUGUACAGAACACAUGUGGCCCAGUGAAAAGCUGCUGGGUAUUUAUAGUCUCAUUGGAUACUACAGCCCAAGUUCUACGUACCUUUUUUUAUCUUUAGAAAGUACACAAAACAGUAGAAUUUAUCAAAUGGUGAAAACAUCCAUAUACAGUUUCCAUCUCUUUUUAGGUAAGUAAAAAUGAUCAACUUUAGGAUACUUUUUCAGAAUUGACAAA